This 724-nucleotide ribosomal RNA is filed under the name uncultured bacterium. RNAcentral describes it as "bacterial SSU rRNA". It matches the Rfam family "Bacterial small subunit ribosomal RNA", at positions 64 to 793 of the family's 1533-position model. The record is from RNAcentral.
GCAUUUGCGACAGAUUUUUUCGGAAUGAAGUUGCUUAUGACUGAGUGGCGGACGGGUGAGUAACGCGUGGGUAACCUGCCUUGUACUGGGGGAUAGCAGCUGGAAACGGCUGGUAAUACCGCAUAAGCGCACAAUGUUGCAUGACAUGGUGUGAAAAACUCCGGUGGUAUAAGAUGGACCCGCGUCUGAUUAGCUAGUUGGUGAGAUAACAGCCCACCAAGGCGACGAUCAGUAGCCGACCUGAGAGGGUGACCGGCCACAUUGGGACUGAGACACGGCCCAGACUCCUACGGGAGGCAGCAGUGGGGAAUAUUGCACAAUGGAGGAAACUCUGAUGCAGCGACGCCGCGUGAGUGAAGAAGUAAUUCGUUAUGUAAAGCUCUAUCAGCAGGGAAGAUAGUGACGGUACCUGACUAAGAAGCUCCGGCUAAAUACGUGCCAGCAGCCGCGGUAAUACGUAUGGAGCAAGCGUUAUCCGGAUUUACUGGGUGUAAAGGGAGUGUAGGUGGCCAUGCAAGUCAGAAGUGAAAAUCCGGGGCUCAACCCCGGAACUGCUUUUGAAACUGUAAGGCUAGAGUGCAGGAGGGGUGAGUGGAAUUCCUAGUGUAGCGGUGAAAUGCGUAGAUAUUAGGAGGAACACCAGUGGCGAAGGCGGCUCACUGGACUGUAACUGACACUGAGGCUCGAAAGCGUGGGGAGCAAACAGGAUUAGAUACCCUGGUAG